UUGUCUCAAAGAUUAAGCCAUGCAUGUCUCAGUACAAGCCGAAUUAAGGUGAAACCGCGAAAGGCUCAUUAAAUCAGUUAUGGUUCCUUAGAUCGUACCCACAAUUACUUGGAUAACUGUGGUAAUUCUAGAGCUAAUACAUGCAAACAGAGCUCCGACCGGAGACGGAAGGAGUGCUUUUAUUAGAUCAAAACCAAUCGGCGGGCGGUCCGCGCGAGCGGUCCGCCGCCCGUCGCUAACGCUGGUGAAUCUGAAUAACUUUUGCUGAUCGCACGGUCUCGCACCGGCGACGCAUCUUUCAAAUGUCUGCCUUAUCAACUGUCGAUGGUAGGUUCUGCGCCUACCAUGGUUGUAACGGGUAACGGGGAAUUAGGGUUCGAUUCCGGAGAGGGAGCCUGAGAAACGGCUACCACAUCCAAGGAAGGCAGCAGGCGCGCAAAUUACCCACUCCCGGCACGGGGAGGUAGUGACGAAAAAUAACGGUACGGGACUCAUCCGAGGCCCCGUAAUCGGAAUGAGUACACUUUAAAUCCUUUAACGAGUACCAACUGGAGGGCAAGUCUGGUGCCAGCAGCCGCGGUAAUUCCAGCUCCAGUAGCGUAU
This 603-nucleotide ribosomal RNA is filed under the name Phreatodytes haibaraensis. Its description in RNAcentral is "SSU rRNA". It matches the Rfam family "Eukaryotic small subunit ribosomal RNA", at positions 32 to 602 of the family's 1831-position model. Lineage: Eukaryota; Metazoa; Arthropoda; Insecta; Coleoptera; Noteridae. The record is from RNAcentral.